ACCACUCCCUCGUCUUCCUCCUCCUCCUCCCCGUACUCAAACUCUUGCGAUUUCUUACUCUCUUCUUAUUUAUCAUCAUUAUCAUCUUCGUUGGUCAACUGGUCAACUUAAAAUCAUCCUUUCUAUCUUUCUACAUCUACCAACAGAGGAAGCUGAUUUGAGUGAUUUUCGAGAUGAAAUAGAUAAGAAGAGAUGCAGAAAGUCGGGGAAAGGAGUAUUGGAGAUGGGUUUAAUGGUAAGCUGGUGUUGGUAUAAAUGGAGAAGGUAUUGGUUAUUGUUUUUGAGUUCGAGGGAGGUUGAACUCGAUUGAGUUGCAUCUCCGAUGUUGGUAAUGGAACUGAUUAUGGUGCUGCUAUGGAGCUGAGGCAAUGUGGUGGUUGAGAUGAUGAGUGGGUCAUUAUGAAGUUUUGAAUUGAACUAGAGAGUGUUGGCAAGAAGAUUGGGUACAGGUUCAGUUUCUAUUUGGUGUGAGCUACAGGUGGUGGUGCAAUGACUAAGCAGAGUGGAGUAGCUGCAGCUGUAAUGUUGGUGUGGAUUAGAGGCUGGGAUGGAUAUGAUGAUAUGGGACACGCUGGUUAGUACAUGGAAGAUAAGAGUCUGGUGCUGCUACUGAAGCUGGAUUUGGUGCUGUUGGUUUGAGAGACUGAAUGAGUUUUGAAGAUGUAGGUUUGUUCAACUGUUACUAUUGAGGGUUGUUUGAGCUGAGAGUUUGCUGCCAGUGGUAAUAAAUGAAUGUGUAUUCUUAUGUUUAAUUUGGAGGGAAAUGGAAAGCUAUAAAAGAGUACCUCCAGGUAGGUUGCACAGCAACACCACCAGCUUGUGCAUGCAAAAUGUUCGAUGUAAUUCCUGAAUCACUAGUCUCGAGUAUGAUGGGUUUAUUUAAUUUUCUAAAAAAUAUUAUGCAGGCCUCAUGUAUCAUCAACUUUGUUCUGUAAACAUAAUAGUGUAUUGGGUCCUACUUAUGUAGUUUGAAUUGAUGAUGUUUGUUGGAAAUGUAGGCCGGAGGGAUGUAUAUGAUAUUUAUGCUGCUGUUGGUAGUGGAUACUUGGAGUAACAAGAUUUUUGUAUCUAAUUUGGAUGAUGGUGUUUCAGAUGAGGAUAUUAAAGUGCUACAUUCAAUAUUUUUCUUUAUUUAUGGAAGAUCAAGGUGCAGUCACUACUAAUGAUCGUGGACUUGACUGGAGUCCAAAAGUUGUAAAUAGCAAUUCCUUAACACUCUGUGAAUGACCUUCAGUUUAUAUUUCCCCAGAGCCUAUUUAGGUUAGUCCGUCGUCCCAUGGAACGAUUUAAAUGUGCUCGUGGUGUAGCGAACCAACUUACUAGCCUAUGAGCGACAAAUGCAAAUGAGCAACAUGGGAAGUGGCAAAGUGCUCAGGCGGCAACAAUGAUGUAUCACCAUCGUUAUGCUCUGCAAGCCAUGUGAAUUGGUUUGCUGGAGCAGCUAGUCAAGGUGGCUACUGCUUGUACCUGCUAUAGCUAUUAUUGAUAUAGGCUGUUAUUGAAGUUAAUAUCAUUAGACCUGUAUUGCAUCUUCUCCGGUAAGCAUAGUUUGAGACCAAGAAAGAAGAUGUAUGGGCUAUUGCGAAUGCUUUCUGUGGCUCAGUUAAUGAGCAUAUCAGGUAUAACCUUCUGAUCCUCGUUCUUAUAUAUAUAUACCCAACUGAGGUACAAAUUAGACUCUACCCACAUCCAUUAGCAAUAGGAACAACGAAAGUGAUCCAGGUAUCAUGGUUCAGGGUGGAAGCACAAAAAUCGUUCCCAAAAACUUCGUAAAACGUUUCUCACUUGAUCCUGUGUAAUUUAUCAUGUACUUCUGUAGAUGGGGAAAAACGAUAUGCUGGUUUUUACGGAAUUGAAGAGACGACCUUG
Papaver somniferum (opium poppy) is the source of this 1869-nucleotide long non-coding RNA. RefSeq lists it as uncharacterized. The transcript has 5 exons. The record is from RefSeq and is a predicted model, not a curated record. Lineage: Eukaryota; Viridiplantae; Streptophyta; Magnoliopsida; Ranunculales; Papaveraceae.